RNAcentral lists this long non-coding RNA (618 nucleotides) under Ananas comosus (pineapple). RNAcentral's name for it is "long non-coding RNA (ACOM_LNC000282)". The record is from RNAcentral. Lineage: Eukaryota; Viridiplantae; Streptophyta; Magnoliopsida; Poales; Bromeliaceae.
UAUAAGAAAAAUAAGUUUUUAUAAAAAAAAUUAUUUUUCAUAUUUUAUAAAAAACUAAUAUUUUUAUUUUUAAAAAAAAUUUAAAAAAAAUGAGUUUUUUAUGAAAUAUAAAAAAAUGUUUAAAAGUGGAAUUGAGCUUUUAUGCUUUUAAAAGUACAAGUUAUUGAUGCUUAUAAAUUUUUGGUCAUUGGAUUAAGGGAUGUGCAAUUAGAAUGAUGUGGGACUUUUAGGCAGCGUUUGGUUAGGGAAUAGGAAUAGGAAUAGGCCCUUAUGCCCCUUUAUACCCAAACGCUAAUUUUUUACACGAGAAUAGUAGUUCUCGGUUAUCCCCACUAACACCUUCAUUUUCUAUAUAAAACUAUCUAAAAUUGUUCUUAUUCCCGGGAACAACCCAAUUUUCAUCCAAACAUUAUUUUUCUUAUUCCCAUACUUGUACUUAUCCCUGUAAUAACUAGUUCUUGUUUAUACCCGAACCAAACGAUACCUUAGGAUAUUCAGGUUGGUUGAAUAGUAUGAUCUAGCGGGUGGAAAUGAUCAAAAGAGUAAAUCUAACGGUAAAAAUUUACAAGCAUCAAAUAUUUGGUGAUUUUACCAGCACUAUAGCCAGACUCUUUAAAA